AGAAAACAUGUUAAAUUUUCGCCUGGUUGUUUGCUUGCAUAGUUUUCCAGAAAGUAGGAAUUCAAACUGUGUCAUAACGUCAAUUGCACCAAUUAAAAUUUGCCAUCAGUCAACGACACUUUUUAGAUAGGCGCUUCUUUACAAUUAUAGAUUUCUUUUCAACAGCCAUGGAUUCAAAACAUAUAGCUAAUUCUUGACAAGCUGUGAUACACGGUUUCAACAAUUACAUAUACAUCUGAAAAUUAUCCUUUCUGUAAUAAUCCACAAUGGAUUAAAACAAUGAGAUAAGAAGAACUUGAGGAGAGGAAGAGAGUUUGGGGAAGGAGGAAGAGAGAAAGAAGAAGGAGAAGAAGAAGAGGAGGAGAAAUUGCGGGAGAUCAGGGAGUAUUCUAUUCACCAAUCUAUUUUCCGAUUCAUCUUUACAGCUAUUUAUAUAGUCUCUACAAUUCUUAGGCCCAGCUGUGAGGUGGUCUCCAGGUUGAGAUGGGGCAUCCACGCCUGUCUCUCCUCCUCUGUUAUUCAUACUUGGCCAAUCACUCUUUAUCUCUUAUUCCUUACGGUUUUCAAACACUACCAUAAUUUCAAAAAAGUGGAUCUUCCUGUUUCUAAUUGGGAAAAUGAAACAUGAAUUGAAAUGGAUGAAGAUGACUAUGUGGGAGAAA
Molecule: long non-coding RNA, 662 nt
Filed under: Ananas comosus (pineapple)
Lineage: Eukaryota; Viridiplantae; Streptophyta; Magnoliopsida; Poales; Bromeliaceae
Description: long non-coding RNA (ACOM_LNC030299)
Source: RNAcentral